Molecule: ribosomal RNA, 433 nt
Filed under: uncultured bacterium
Lineage: Bacteria
Description: partial 16S ribosomal RNA
Rfam family: Bacterial small subunit ribosomal RNA
Source: RNAcentral
AACGAACGCUGGCGGCAUGCCUAACACAUGCAAGUCGAACGAGACCUUCGGGUCUAGUGGCGCACGGGUGCGUAACGCGUGGGAACCUGCCUUUAGGUUCGGAAUAACUCAGAGAAAUUUGAGCUAAUACCGGAUGAUGUCUUCGGACCAAAGAUUUAUCGCCUUUGGAUGGGCCUGCGUUGGAUUAGCUAGUUGGUGGGGUAAAGGCCUACCAAGGCGACGAUCCAUAGCUGGUCUGAGAGGAUGAUCAGCCACACUGGGACUGAGACACGGCCCAGACUCCUACGGGAGGCAGCAGUGGGGAAUAUUGGACAAUGGGCGAAAGCCUGAUCCAGCAAUGCCGCGUGAGUGAUGAAGGCCUUAGGGUUGUAAAGCUCUUUUACCCGAGAUGAUAAUGACAGUAUCGGGAGGAUAAGCUCCGGCUAACUCCGUG